Molecule: unclassified non-coding RNA, 277 nt
Filed under: uncultured fungus
Lineage: Eukaryota; Fungi
Description: sequence contains ITS1, 5.8S rRNA gene
Rfam family: 5.8S ribosomal RNA (bases 229-277)
Source: RNAcentral
UUUCCGUAGGUGAACCUGCGGAAGGAUCAUUAACAAAUUCCAAAACACGUGUUUGGCAAAGAGAGAGAAGUAUGGAGUGGUGGGGGGUGGUGGUGUCGUCCGUAAAGGCGCGCUUCACCUCUUCUCCUCUAGCACAACCCUCUUUGUCAGUCUCAACACAAAACAACACAUUUACAUUUAUCAUGGACAAUCAAUGGAGAACCAAGUAGUUAUCACAUGAUUAAAAACAACUUUUAACAAUGGAUCUCUUGGCUCUUGCAUCGAUGAAGAACGCAGC